GGAAGCAGCUUGCUGCUUNUGCUGACGAGUGGCGGACGGGUGAGUAAUGUCUGGGAAACUGCCUGAUGGAGGGGGAUAACUACUGGAAACGGUAGCUAAUACCGCAUAACGUCGCAAGACCAAAGAGGGGGACCUUCGGGCCUCUUGCCAUCGGAUGUGCCCAGAUGGGAUUAGCUAGUAGGUGGGGUAACGGCUCACCUAGGCGACGAUCCCUAGCUGGUCUGAGAGGAUGACCAGCCACACUGGAACUGAGACACGGUCCAGACUCCUACGGGAGGCAGCAGUGGGGAAUAUUGCACAAUGGGCGCAAGCCUGAUGCAGCCAUGCCGCGUGUAUGAAGAAGGCCUUCGGGUUGUAAAGUACUUUCAGCGGGGAGGAAGGGAGUAAAGUUAAUACCUUUGCUCAUUGACGUUACCCGCAGAAGAAGCACCGGCUAACUCCGUGCCAGCAGCCGCGGUAAUACGGAGGGUGCAAGCGUUAAUCGGAAUUACUGGGCGUAAAGCGCACGCAGGCGGUUUGUUAAGUCAGAUGUGAAAUCCCCGGGCUCAACCUGGGAACUGCAUCUGAUACUGGCAAGCUUGAGUCUCGUAGAGGGGGGUAGAAUUCCAGGUGUAGCGGUGAAAUGCGUAGAGAUCUGGAGGAAUACCGGUGGCGAAGGCGGCCCCCUGGACGAAGACUGACGCUCAGGUGCGAAAGCGUGGGGAGCAAACAGGAUUAG
This 718-nucleotide ribosomal RNA is filed under the name Escherichia coli. RNAcentral describes it as "bacterial SSU rRNA". It matches the Rfam family "Bacterial small subunit ribosomal RNA", at positions 71 to 781 of the family's 1533-position model. Lineage: Bacteria; Pseudomonadati; Pseudomonadota; Gammaproteobacteria; Enterobacterales; Enterobacteriaceae. The record is from RNAcentral.